RNAcentral lists this long non-coding RNA (1259 nucleotides) under Brassica rapa (field mustard). RNAcentral describes it as "long non-coding RNA (BRAP_LNC004164)". Lineage: Eukaryota; Viridiplantae; Streptophyta; Magnoliopsida; Brassicales; Brassicaceae. The record is from RNAcentral.
UUGGAUUUUCUUGAAAUAAAUAUAGUACUAUUUAUUUAAACUUUAAAUAGAAAUAGAAAUAGAAAUAUAAUAAGAAUAUAUAUUGUUACUUUUCUGAAUAAUUUUUGCUAAUUUUGUAUUUUCUGAAAAAAAUAGAGAAUAAUGAAGGUUAGUGUCAUUUUAAUUUAAACCAAAAAUAUUUAUUAAAAAUGAUAAUAUGAUCUCAGAAUUCUUUUCAUUAUUUUUUUUUGGUUUAUAAUAUCAUUUUCAAUAUAUAAUCAUAUAAAUAUUUCAUAUAAAGUAGUUUUUAUUAAACUCUCUCUGUAUCUUUCAGAGAGAGAGUCAGUUUCUUUGGUCCUGGCAGUUGUGGCCGGUGUUUUAUCCUCUCCGUUGGGGAUUAGGUUCCGACAUCUGUUGCUUAUUUAGAACAGGAUGGUCGGCUUUUGGCUCUGGUGGUAGGCGUUCUUUUCUGGCGUUCCCACCGGCUCUUGGCUCCGGCAACACUUUCUUUAUCCUUCAUUGAGGUUGCUGGCUCUUGUCUCCGAUGAUCUACCUUCUUCUCCGGUGGAUUGAUUAGAUCUUUUCCGGGAUUUCCUGGUUUUCUUGUUCUUCGCUUCUUCGUUUCACUUUGUUCCAAUCGAUUCCGGCCUCUUCAAUUGAUUGCUUCUUCCUCCCCGCUGAUAGUGUAGCUGCGUCUUCGAGCUUAUCCUAAUCAUUAAAGGCGCAUGAUGUUCUCGUAGGAUAAUCGAUUGAAUCGAGGUUGGUUGUAGGUCGUUGGAACUCUCCUUCUGUAGCGAAGACAAUUUUCUCUAUGCUUUCACUUCUCCUUUUGAGUUGCCGGCGACUCCUUUGGUCUGGUUUCUGUUCCGGUUUGUCCGGUGAAACGCCAAUUAGAGUUUGGUCAGAGACUCUCUAGAGGUGAAAGUGGUUGUGUCUUGGUUAUUGUAUGAAGUUGCCUCGACGGUUCCUCUUUCUCGGCGUCCUGUUCCGGUGUGUCUGGUGGACGUUCGGAGAGUUGUUCCGGUGGUGAUUUCCUCGCCGUGAAAACGUGUCGUCUCUCCCUGCAUGUGUCCCUUUCUCGAUUCGGCGCACAACGCGUAGGAAGUUGGUGAGGCAUGGACCGUUUUCCUCUGGGUUAGGGUUUUGUUUGGGCUUUCGUUGGAUCUUUUAUUUUUUUGUUCGGUUUUAGUUUGGCUGAGCCUUUGAUCUCUUUAUUGUACUUUUUGUUCCGUUGGGCUUUUGCCUUGUAAAGAUGUUCAGUGAAAAAAAAAUAGUUUUUA